This 937-nucleotide long non-coding RNA is filed under the name Ficedula albicollis (Collared flycatcher). RNAcentral describes it as "lncRNA (ENSFALG00000022352.2)". Lineage: Eukaryota; Metazoa; Chordata; Aves; Passeriformes; Muscicapidae. The record is from RNAcentral.
UAGUUAAAAAUAAAAUCUGAUUCCUCUCAACACUCACUAUUUAGUUCUCAUUUUCCAUCUAGUAUUUAAUGGUCUUUGGAGAGAAAUAAUAAUAAAACAGAGUGUUAUAUAUAUAUAUAUAAAUAUAUAUAUUUUUGGUGCAAGAUGAGACCUUCUGUUUUUUGAAACAAGUCUGUAGCAUAAAGGUUAAACUAUUUUAAGAUGAAAUAAAAUAGAGUGUAUUAUUUAAACAAUAUCAGUUCGUUGGGUUUUUUUACUUCCACUUCCAUCAUGGUUUGUCACAUCUCCGAAUUAAAUCUGUAAAUUCUGUUACAGUUACCGUUACAGUUGGGGGUUACAGGGUUACAGUUGCUGAAAUUCAGCACUGUUUCUUGCUGUAAUGCAUUUAAAUUUUGCACAUCCAGAAUGUUGAAGUGAUUUCCUGGCUGCAAAACCUUCCUUUUAUCUUGGACCAGGGCAGCACCUACACUUCUCCCUGUCAUGUUGGUGCCAGGGGCUGUGCAGGAUGCUGGACCCUGUUGCCUUGGUCAGACCCUGUCUACACAGUCAGCAUCCAUCCCAAUUCAUGGAAAAGAGCAAAAGAAAUCAAAUCAUCUGUAUGGAAUACUGAAAUUAAAUUAACCAGCUGUGAUUUUGAGUAAAGAAACAAGGUAAGAAGCUGAAGGAAAAAAAAAUUCUCAGGAAGGCAGAAAAUAAAGCAGCAAAAUAACCCAAGAUUAAAUGUCAGUGUAAAAAAUCUCAAAUAAAGCCCUUCCAGUUCUGAGUCCCCACUUGGGUUUGGGUUGCUGUUGCUCCCAGGCAUGGUACAAAGGUAUUUGCUGUAGAGAUUUCCCCUCCUUUUUCACCCUUUCUCUAUCCACGUUGCCUUGAGUUCUUUUCACCAUCACUUUUCCCUGGAGGUUCUCCAGUGCUGUUGCCCCAAGCCCUUUGUGCCUCC